UAAAUAAAUAAAUAAAUGAUAAACAAAGUGAUUUCUUUCCCAGCAGGCUGAGUUAGCACUAGAAGAGCUGAAGGACAGAAUUGAAGAGGACAUGCUUGACAGUAUGGGUGCUCUCUGUCAGAACGACGACCAGGCAUCUACUCCCUUACUUUUGAAAGAGCAGCAGGAACUACGUCGCAGAGUCCAGAGGCCCACCCUGGAAAGUGAGGGUCCAGGGGUCCAACAGCCUGGGGAGAGCUUCUACGACAGGUUAUUGAGGUGCUUCCAA
This is a long non-coding RNA of Pteropus alecto (black flying fox), 268 nucleotides long. RefSeq lists it as uncharacterized. NCBI's taxonomy places the organism in Eukaryota, Metazoa, Chordata, Mammalia, Chiroptera, Pteropodidae. The transcript has 3 exons. The record is from RefSeq and is a predicted model, not a curated record.